AAGACAGCAUCCUUCUUCACUGUAAGUAGAAUUGUUUAUUGAUGUGACUGAUACUGUAUAUCUCCUGUGUACAUUAUUUUAUCUGCUGACAUGUUUUAUUGUCUCUGAAGCCACACAGAGAGAUGAGAGGAGCAGCUAUGAGUUUAACUGCAGCAGCGAGAGGAUUUGUCGUCUCCCUUCUCUCUGUGUCAGUUUCUACCUGAACAGCCAGAGGAGCAGGAUAACCUUCAGUAUGCCAGCAUUCACUUCACCAACAACCAGGCAGAUCCUCUCUACUCCAACAUCAGACCAGCUCGCUCCCUCAGACACACGGAGCAACAAGAUUUCAUGGAGUACGCUGUUGUCACAUUUAAGAGUAAUACUGCCCCGAGAUCCAGAGGUCAGGAACCUGGAGAGGAUCCAUCUGCAUUGUACAGCACAGUCAACGACCAAAACAUAUAUUGCAUUUAUGAUAAUUCUGUUUCUUUUUUUAGUUCUUUCUUUUAGUUAAUAUUU
Micropterus salmoides (largemouth bass) is the source of this 495-nucleotide long non-coding RNA. RefSeq lists it as uncharacterized. The record is from RefSeq and is a predicted model, not a curated record. The transcript is spliced from 3 exons. NCBI's taxonomy places the organism in Eukaryota, Metazoa, Chordata, Actinopteri, Centrarchiformes, Centrarchidae.